GGCUCUAAUAGCGUAUAUUAAAAUUGCUGCGGUUAAAAAGCUCGUAGUCAGGUUUUAGGGUGAUGCAGCGGCCUGGUUCAUUCUGGGUGCGGUCAUCCUAGGUUUCGGGAAUUAGGCAGGUUGUUCUUAACUGAAUGGCUUCGCCAUCCUGAUCAUUUACUGUGAACAAAUUAAAGCGUUCAAAGCAUGCGUUUCCGCAUGAAUAACUCAGCAUGGAAUAAUACAUACGGCCUGCGAGAAGCUCGUAGCUCAUUCUCAAGGGCAAUGGUUAAUGGGAUUUGUCGGGGGCAUCCGUAUUGAGUGGGGAGAGGUGAAAUUCGUUGAUCCAUUCAAGACGCCCAUAUGCGAAAGCAUUUGUCCAGUAAGUCUCUA
This 372-nucleotide ribosomal RNA is filed under the name uncultured eukaryote. RNAcentral describes it as "SSU rRNA". It matches the Rfam family "Eukaryotic small subunit ribosomal RNA", at positions 587 to 972 of the family's 1831-position model. The record is from RNAcentral.